GACGAACGCUGGCGGCGUGCCUAAUACAUACAAGUAGAACGCACAGUUUAUACCGUAGCUUGCUACACCAUAGACUGUGAGUUGCGAACGGGUGAGUAACGCGUAGGUAACCUGCCUGGUAGCGGGGGAUAACUAUUGGAGACGAUAGCUAAUACCGCAUAAUAUUGAUUAUUGCAUGAUAAUUGAUUGAAAGAUGCUAUUGCAUCACUACCAGAUGGACCUGCGUUGUAUUAGCUAGUAGGUGAGGUAACGGCUCACCUAGGCGACGAUACAUAGCCGACCUGAGAGGGUGAUCGGCCACACUGGGACUGAGACACGGCCCAGACUCCUACGGGAGGCAGCAGUAGGGAAUCUUCGGCAAUGGACGAAAGUCUGACCGAGCAACGCCGCGUGAGUGAAGAAGGUUUUCGGAUCGUAAAGCUCUGUUGUAAGAGAAGAACGGGUGUGAGAGUGGAAAGUUCACACUGUGACGGUAUCUUACCAGAAAGGGACGGCUAACUACGUG
RNAcentral lists this ribosomal RNA (505 nucleotides) under uncultured bacterium. RNAcentral's name for it is "partial 16S ribosomal RNA". It matches the Rfam family "Bacterial small subunit ribosomal RNA", at positions 28 to 507 of the family's 1533-position model. The record is from RNAcentral.